This 250-nucleotide ribosomal RNA is filed under the name uncultured bacterium. Its description in RNAcentral is "partial 16S ribosomal RNA". It matches the Rfam family "Bacterial small subunit ribosomal RNA", at positions 524 to 773 of the family's 1533-position model. The record is from RNAcentral.
UAUGAGGGGUCCUAGCGUUGUUCGGAAUCAUUGGGCGUAAAGGGUGUGUAGGUGGCUAUGUAAGUCAGGUGUGAAAGCCCCGGGCUCAACCCGGGAAGUGCAUCUGAUACUGCGUAGCUUGAGUACCGAAGAGGAUAGUGGAAUUCCAGGUGUAGUGGUGAAAUACGUAGAUAUCUGGAGGAACACCGGUGGCGAAGGCGGCUAUCUGGUCGAGUACUGACACUGAGACACGAAAGCAUGGGGAUCAAAC